GACAGAGGUGCCAAGCGUUAGGCGGAAUUACUGGGCGUAAAGCGCGUGUAGGUGGUUAGAUAAGUCACUGUUGAAAGCGCCCGGCUAAACUGGGCGAGGCGCGGUGAGACUGUCUGGCUAGAGUAUGGGAGAGGGAUGCAGAAUUCCGGGUGUAGUGGUGAAAUGCGUAGAGAUCCGGAGGAACACCAGAGGCGAAAGCGGCGUCCUGGGGUGAGGUUGACGCUCAGACACGAAAGCAUGGGGAGCGAACGGG
This 253-nucleotide ribosomal RNA is filed under the name uncultured bacterium. RNAcentral's name for it is "partial 16S ribosomal RNA". It matches the Rfam family "Bacterial small subunit ribosomal RNA", at positions 524 to 776 of the family's 1533-position model. The record is from RNAcentral.